GCCAUCUAACAAUAGUGCGGCCUUUCCUCCAAGGCUGGCCCCUCCAAGAAGCCCCCCCCCCACGCCACAAAUCCUGUGAAAGAUCCAGACAAAAAUGCAUAAUGGAACGAGAUGGAAUCAUGGGAAAGAAGGCUCUGCUUCACGGCUCCUGGAACAGGUGUGAACAAGAAAGUGCUCCUAAGCUCAUUUGCUGUCACUGCAUAAUUUUCUGAGCACAAGAAGGAGGAACACUUCUGCAGAGAUGGGAACACAACUGGGCAUCAGCGGAUCAGCAGUAUAGGGUUGUUCUGGAAAAUGACCUGUUGUACUGUCAACUGCUUGAAUUCGGACCUACCACCACCUCCAUGUUGAAUUUGGACCUACCACCACCUCCAUGUUGAAUUUGGACCUACCACCAUCUCCAUGUUGAAUUUGGACCUAUCACCAUCUCCAUGUUGAAUUUGGACCUACCACCACCUCCAUGUUGAAUUCGGACCUACCACCACCACCAUGUUCUGGUAAUUCAUCCUGGGAAGAGCAUCCUGGAAAGAAAAGCUUGAUAAACUAUGACAACCUGUCAGUUAAAUGAUUCCUCUGGAUCUUGGGAGUGGUUUGUCAUUACAUAUGAAAAAGAGAGUAAAGGUUCACAAGAAGGUCAUCUUCUACGUUAGCAGAAGUUUGCCCAACACAGAGGCCGUAGA
Molecule: long non-coding RNA, 680 nt
Organism: Sphaerodactylus townsendi
Lineage: Eukaryota; Metazoa; Chordata; Lepidosauria; Squamata; Sphaerodactylidae
Exons: 3
Source: RefSeq, a predicted model, not a curated record